Bombina bombina (fire-bellied toad) is the source of this 83-nucleotide small nucleolar RNA. RefSeq annotates it as small nucleolar RNA SNORD127. The record is from RefSeq and is a predicted model, not a curated record. NCBI's taxonomy places the organism in Eukaryota, Metazoa, Chordata, Amphibia, Anura, Bombinatoridae. The transcript has a single exon.
GGGCAACCAUGAUGACUUAUUAACUCCUGUAUGUAAUAUAUUUACAUCAUGAAGACAACAGUCCCUCUAAGCUGAUGUUGCCC